This 554-nucleotide ribosomal RNA is filed under the name uncultured bacterium. RNAcentral's name for it is "partial 16S ribosomal RNA". It matches the Rfam family "Bacterial small subunit ribosomal RNA", at positions 355 to 902 of the family's 1533-position model. The record is from RNAcentral.
UGGGGAAUAUUGGACAAUGGGGGAAACCCUGAUCCAGCCAUGCCGCGUGUGUGAAGAAGGCCUUAUGGUUGUAAAGCACUUUAAGCGAGGAGGAGGCUACUGAGACUAAUACUCUUGGAUAGUGGACGUUACUCGCAGAAUAAGCACCGGCUAACUCUGUGCCAGCAGCCGCGGUAAUACAGAGGGUGCGAGCGUUAAUCGGAUUUACUGGGCGUAAAGCGUGCGUAGGCGGCUUUUUAAGUCGGAUGUGAAAUCCCCGAGNUUAACUUGGGAAUUGCAUUCGAUACUGGGAAGCUAGAGUAUGGGAGAGGAUGGUAGAAUUCCAGGUGUAGCGGUGAAAUGCGUAGAGAUCUGGAGGAAUACCGAUGGCGAAGGCAGCCAUCUGGCCUAAUACUGACGCUGAGGUACGAAAGCAUGGGGAGCAAACAGGAUUAGAUACCCUGGUAGUCCAUGCCGUAAACGAUGUCUACUAGCCGUUGGGGCCUUUGAGGCUUAGUGGCGCAGCUAACGCGAUAAGUAGACCGCCUGGGGAGUACGUCGCAAGACUAAAACUU